This 84-nucleotide transfer RNA is filed under the name Mycoplasma sp. 1018B. RNAcentral's name for it is "tRNA-Leu". It matches the Rfam family "tRNA". From Rfam's summary of the family: Transfer RNA (tRNA) molecules are approximately 80 nucleotides in length. Their secondary structure includes four short double-helical elements and three loops (D, anti-codon, and T loops). Lineage: Bacteria; Bacillati; Mycoplasmatota; Mollicutes; Mycoplasmatales; Mycoplasmataceae. The record is from RNAcentral. RNAcentral also lists the same sequence under 1 other name.
GCCCAAGUGGUGGAAUGGUAGACACCGUAGACUCAAAAUCUACUGCAGAAAUGCGUGCAGGUUCAAGUCCUGUCUUGGGUACCA